RNAcentral lists this ribosomal RNA (458 nucleotides) under Granulicatella adiacens. Its description in RNAcentral is "bacterial SSU rRNA". It matches the Rfam family "Bacterial small subunit ribosomal RNA", at positions 28 to 475 of the family's 1533-position model. The record is from RNAcentral. Lineage: Bacteria; Bacillati; Bacillota; Bacilli; Lactobacillales; Carnobacteriaceae.
GACGAACGCUGGCGGCGUGCCUAAUACAUGCAAGUCGAACGAGAGCGACCGGUGCUUACACUGGUCAAUCUAGUGGCGAACGGGUGAGUAACACGUGGGUAACCUGCCCAUCAGAGGGGGAUAACAUCCGGAAACGGAUGCUAAAACCGCAUAGGUCUUCGAACCGCAUGGUUUGAAGAGGAAAAGAGGCGCAAGCUUCUGCUGAUGGAUGGACCCGCGGUGCAUUAGCUAGUUGGUGAGGUAACGGCUCACCAAGGCCGUGAUGCAUAGCCGACCUGAGAGGGUGAUCGGCCACAUUGGGACUGAGACACGGCCCAAACUCCUACGGGAGGCAGCAGUAGGGAAUCUUCCGCAAUGGACGCAAGUCUGACGGAGCAACGCCGCGUGAGUGAAGAAGGUUUUCGGAUCGUAAAACUCUGUUGUUAGAGAAGAGCAAGUGCUAGAGUAACUGUUAGCGC